AUGGGCACACACACACACACACAUUGAAUUAAGGGACUCUGGGGAAUGGCCUUUCACAACUGCAGCUAACCACUGAACCUUCCAGUUCACUUCUUGCCUUCUCUGGCCCCUAAGUCAGCAGUCAGCCUUUGGGAGGCAGGGCCUGUCUUUAGCCUAUAGGGAUGCUUUUCUGGACCAGGGGGUUUUCCAGAUUUCAGAGUGCAUCACAGAAAGGGCUGGAGAGCCCCUUAAAGCAAAGCUUGCUGGCCUCCACCUUUUGAGCAUCUGAUUAAGUAGGUCUGGGACCAUGUGCCUUUCUGACAAGUUUCUAGACAAUGACUUUGAGAACCGCUGCUCUAGGGCCAGGAGCACCCAUCUUCCUUCCAUCUAGAAGGGAAGCUUCUAAGGAGGCCACUGGGCCACUCACAUCGAUUCUUCUGCAGUAAGGGGAACCUGUAUCCUUGUCACUUGCUGUCAGCCCCUCUCCAGGCAGUAGGUACUCCACGGCCUAACUCUCAGAGAAACAGAGGCCAUCGUGUCCGGGAAUGUUAGAGGGUGGAAACCUGGCCCCCUGCCACUGGAGGAAAAGGAGAAGGAACUUGCCUGUUUGUUAGAGUCUAGCUGGGGACAGGGGCCCAGAACCUCAGGCCUUUCCCCGCUGUGUGCUCUCCCGUCUGUGAAAUGGCCUGUCCGGUGGGCUACAUACGGUUGCUGUGAGCAUAAAGAGGAAAGGCGGGUUUGAAACUGCCCAGCCAAAUGCAAAGCUCUUUAUUAUCUGCAGUCUUAUUAAUCACAAAAAGCCUGCUCCGGGAUCCCAGCCGCGCACCAGGGCCGUGGAGCCCCGAGGCGACGAGAGUCCGGGGAGAAAGCCGGCGUUUCCCUCCCGCCCUCCGGGGUCGGAGAGCGGGCUGGGGAUUGGGCCGCCGCCGGAGGACCAGGGGCAGGCCGCUUGGCAGAGCCGCCUAUGGGGAGGGCCCCACCAGCGCCGCUCGGCGGAGCCCUGGGGCCGCGCCGGCUCGUCCCAACAUUGUUCAGCACCCCGCGUCAGCCUUGGCCGCGGCCCCUGGCGCGCGCCGGCCGCUUUUGGCCGCCUUGGCCCCGUCUGAACCCUGCGGGCCGCGGGCCAGGGCGGGCCGAGCGCCGCCGCACCGGGCCCCUCUCCCGACGCCUCCCGGCCGCCCGGGACGCUUCUCCCGGCCUCCCAGGCCCGCCUUGGGCCUCCCCCUACCCCGAUCCUCGCGCCGAUCGUCCACGGGUGCAAAACCCUGGGGCUGGGCUUACGGGUUUGCGGGCGUGUGCGCGCCGGGGGCUCCCUGCGCGCGCCGCCGCUCCCUACAGGGACGCGCGCAGGGGGCUGCCCCACCGAGCCCGUGCCUGGCGCCCAGGGGUCCACCCUGAGCUUGGGCUCAGUGCUCCUGGGCGCGCGGGCGGGAGCCGAAGGGCCGCGGCAGGGCGGAGAGGCCUGUGGCCGCUCUGGUAUCUUCGGGCGCACAGGUUCUGGAGAGCCCUGCGCGCCCCUCGGGGCUCCAGCCGGCGAGGUUCCAGAUGUGUGCAGCUGUGCAGCGUGCGGGCUUCCCCCUCGGUGGGGGCCGAGUCAGAAGCGGCCCCUGCUGCUCUCUGUGUGAACCGGGUGGGGAAGCUUUGCCUGGGAGGGCCGGCGUAUGGCCAUAGAAUGUUCUGGGGGGAGUGAAGGGCCUUUGGUUGAGAAGUUGAAGGCUUGGGUUGAGGACGGGGUCUUGGUGUCACCAUUAUUUACCAGCUGCCCAUGCUUGAGAAAUCCAAUCUCCCCCAUUUUCUUGAUUAUCCGUAAUAUAGCUAUCAUGGGUGUGCUUCUUAUCUUCCGUACAUUAUUUUUUUGUCUUUCCCACAACACACAGGGUCGGUGUUACCCACUUUUUGCAGAUGAAGUGAGAUCCAUCCACGCCUGCCAAGGUUACACCAGGGCUGAGUGGGGACCUGUGACUUGAAAUUAUCUCUAAUUCCAGAGACUGGACUGUGAGAAUUUGAUGGGAAACAGAAUUUUUAAGAUGCAAAAGAGUGGUAGACACUAUUCUCUUCCACCUUCCUCGGUGCCUGGAGUCCCACCCGCAGGCAUGACCCUUCCGCCUCCCGAACUCCACAGCGACCCUUCCUUAGGAUAGCUGGUGAAGAGGCAGGGGUUCAGGGUGGGGACCCCCGACAGUAAGCCUCGCCUGGAGCCAGAACCAGAGGGGGGCCUCGCCCUCUUCCAUCC
Long non-coding RNA from Bos taurus (domestic cattle), 2212 nucleotides. The record is from Ensembl. Lineage: Eukaryota; Metazoa; Chordata; Mammalia; Artiodactyla; Bovidae.